Molecule: ribosomal RNA, 492 nt
Filed under: uncultured bacterium
Lineage: Bacteria
Description: partial 16S ribosomal RNA
Rfam family: Bacterial small subunit ribosomal RNA
Source: RNAcentral
GAUGAACGCUAGCUACAGGCUUAACACAUGCAAGUCGAGGGGAAACGACAUCGAAAGCUUGCCUUUGAUGGGCGUCGACCGGCGCACGGGUGAGUAACGCGUAUCCAACCUGCCCAUCACUUGGGAAUAACCUUGCGAAAGUAAGACUAAUACCCAAUGACAUCCCACGAAGACAUCUGAAUGGGAUUAAAGAUUUAUCGGUGAUGGAUGGGGAUGCGUCUGAUUAGCUUGUUGGCGGGGUAACGGCCCACCAAGGCAACGAUCAGUAGGGGUUCUGAGAGGAAGGUCCCCCACAUUGGAACUGAGACACGGUCCAAACUCCUACGGGAGGCAGCAGUGAGGAAUAUUGGUCAAUGGGCGAGAGCCUGAACCAGCCAAGUAGCGUGCAGGAUGACGGCCCUAUGGGUUGUAAACUGCUUUUAUAAGGGAAUAAAGUGGGUCUCGUGAGACUUUUUGCAUGUACCUUAUGAAUAAGGACCGGCUAAUUCCGUG